This 300-nucleotide ribosomal RNA is filed under the name Triticum aestivum (bread wheat). RNAcentral's name for it is "partial small subunit ribosomal RNA". Lineage: Eukaryota; Viridiplantae; Streptophyta; Magnoliopsida; Poales; Poaceae. The record is from RNAcentral.
AUGGACCAGCACGCCAGAGAUGUUGCUGUCCAGGAUCUCCGGUCGGGAACAUCCCUUGUCCUUGUCACCACCGAUCUUGGUGGCGCCGACACAUUGCAGGUCCCUGUUGUCAUCAACUAUGAUCUGCCAACACAACCAGUACAAUACAUUCGUAAUGUUCAACGAAGUGGACAGCCUGUAGGGAAUGGUGUCGCUAUCAGCUUCAUUGCUUGUGCUGAUGAGCGUGUCCUGUCUGACAUCCAAAGGUUCUGCAAUGCUCAGAUGGUGGGGUUACCUUCCAACGUCGCUGACCUCUUGUGA